Molecule: long non-coding RNA, 318 nt
Organism: Oreochromis aureus
Lineage: Eukaryota; Metazoa; Chordata; Actinopteri; Cichliformes; Cichlidae
Source: Ensembl
CAGCAAGUCCUGGGUGAACGUAUAUUGUGUCCUGAAAGAUGGAAAGCUGACCUUCUAUAAGGAUGCCAGGAACCACAACACAACAUACAACGGAGAGCCUCCUGUUGACCUUAGUAACUGCUCAUUUGAUCCGUCGAUGGGAUACAAGAAGAAGAAAAAUGUCUUCAUCCUUCAAGUGAACGAUGGAAACAACUUCGUAUUUCAUGCAAAAGAUGAGGAGGACCUAAAGGCAUGGACUUCUACUAUCACCACCUGUAUAGCUGAACACGAGGCCAUGGCCAAGUGGGAUAAGCCAGGCACCUCAUCUAUGGAUCCUGA